CAGUCGCCGCGGUAAUACAGAGGGUGCAAGCGUUAAUCGGAAUUACUGGGCGUAAAGCGCGCGUAGGUGGUUUGUUAAGUUGGAUGUGAAAGCCCCGGGCUCAACCUGGGAACUGCAUCCAAAACUGACAAGCUAGAGUACGGUAGAGGGUGGUGGAAUUUCCUGUGUAGCGGUGAAAUGCGUAGAUAUAGGAAGGAACACCAGUGGCGAAGGCGACCACCUGGACUGAUACUGACACUGAGGUGCGAAAGCGUGGGGAGCAAACAGGAUUAGAUACCCGAGUAGUCCCUGUCUCUUAUAC
Molecule: ribosomal RNA, 301 nt
Filed under: uncultured bacterium
Lineage: Bacteria
Description: partial 16S ribosomal RNA
Rfam family: Bacterial small subunit ribosomal RNA
Source: RNAcentral